This is a ribosomal RNA of Lepisosteus oculatus (spotted gar), 119 nucleotides long. NCBI's taxonomy places the organism in Eukaryota, Metazoa, Chordata, Actinopteri, Semionotiformes, Lepisosteidae. The record is from Ensembl.
GCCAGCAGCCAUAUCACCCUACAACUCACAACUAGCAACCCACUAAAGCUAAGCAGGUAUGAGCCUGGUCAGUACCUGGAUGGGAGACCUCCUGGGAAAAACUAAGGUUGCUGCUGGAA